UACGAAGGGGGCUAGCGUUGCUCGGAAUCACUGGGCGUAAAGGGUGCGUAGGCGGGUCUUUAAGUCAGGGGUGAAAUCCUGGAGCUCAACUCCAGAACUGCCUUUGAUACUGAGGGUCUUGAGUCCGGGAGAGGUGAGUGGAACUGCGAGUGUAGAGGUGAAAUUCGUAGAUAUUCGCAAGAACACCAGUGGCGAAGGCGGCUCACUGGCCCGGUACUGACGCUGAGGCACGAAAGCGUGGGGAGCAAACAGG
This 253-nucleotide ribosomal RNA is filed under the name uncultured bacterium. Its description in RNAcentral is "partial 16S ribosomal RNA". It matches the Rfam family "Bacterial small subunit ribosomal RNA", at positions 524 to 776 of the family's 1533-position model. The record is from RNAcentral.